This is a non-coding RNA of Phoenix dactylifera (date palm), 910 nucleotides long. The record is from RefSeq and is a predicted model, not a curated record. NCBI's taxonomy places the organism in Eukaryota, Viridiplantae, Streptophyta, Magnoliopsida, Arecales, Arecaceae.
AAUGCUAUGGGCUGGUGGAGCUACCUGUCCUCUUAAGCUAUUCUAGGGUUAAUUGUAGCAGCAGUAGUGGCCCAAAGAAGGCUCAAAAGGAGAUCAGGAUGAGAUUGAGGAUGAUCAUAUAAUGGAACGAGAGAAGAAUCAUCAUUGAGAAGGAGAGGACAAAAAUAAGGGCGGGGCCUCACUACCUUGUGGCUUUUGACUGCACCCUUUCGGGCUUUCCGACGUAAAGAUGUGUGGAGAGGGAGGGAAGCGUGGGUUCUACGCGAGCUCAUGGCAUUCAGCAACAGAAAAUUUGAGUCCGUGGAGAGAAUACGAGCAAAGGAUUGUGGUGGGCAAAGCAUCUUAAAAGAGAGGGGGCAAAAUUAAAGGCCUUCCACACCAUGUAACAUGGUGAGCUUUUGGUUUGGCCUUGGAAGAGAUCAAAGGGAAGAAGACAAGCGUCCAUUGGAGUUGGUCGUCAAUCUCCGUUGUGGCUGCUACCCGAGCAUUGUUGGUCCCAAUUAAAGCUUUUUGCCUAUCAAAUAUCGUUCAUGCGAGCAUGCCGUGACGCCGGAAACACUUUGGCCAAUUAUUCAAGUUUGAGCAUUGAUGUGAUGAGUGGAGGUCACAAAUCUGCGAUCAUAUAUGAAAGAGGGAGGUGAGAGAAUGGAUUCGUAACUUGUCACAAUGGGCAGCCAUCAUUACGAUUACAAAAGUUUCAACUUAUCAAAAGAAAAGGGAAGAAAAGCACGUCGAUUCUGAUCUUGGUUUAGAAGUUAAUAUGAUACAAUUCCAACUCUAUUUAGAAGAAAAGUUGCUCUCCUAUUAUGUUGAUUUACUUAGGCUUUCAAGAUCUUAUACUGUCAAAGAUGGUAGCCUGCUCUUCUUGAAUAUAAGUAUCAUCCAAGCCUCUUAAGAGUACAGCCAUUAA